This 85-nucleotide non-coding RNA is filed under the name human gut metagenome. The record is from RNAcentral. RNAcentral also lists the same sequence under 1 other name.
UCUAAGGGGUGUCCGCUUUAUUGGGCGGUCUGAGAUCAUACCCUAUAACCUGAUCCGGAUAAUGCCGGCGUAGGUAGGUGCAAGG